RNAcentral lists this ribosomal RNA (1926 nucleotides) under Escherichia coli. RNAcentral describes it as "partial 23S ribosomal RNA". It matches the Rfam family "Bacterial large subunit ribosomal RNA", at positions 890 to 2798 of the family's 2925-position model. The record is from RNAcentral. Lineage: Bacteria; Pseudomonadati; Pseudomonadota; Gammaproteobacteria; Enterobacterales; Enterobacteriaceae.
UCAUCUCCGGGGGUAGAGCACUGUUUCGGCAAGGGGGUCAUCCCGACUUACCAACCCGAUGCAAACUGCGAAUACCGGAGAAUGUUAUCACGGGAGACACACGGCGGGUGCUAACGUCCGUCGUGAAGAGGGAAACAACCCAGACCGCCAGCUAAGGUCCCAAAGUCAUGGUUAAGUGGGAAACGAUGUGGGAAGGCCCAGACAGCCAGGAUGUUGGCUUAGAAGCAGCCAUCAUUUAAAGAAAGCGUAAUAGCUCACUGGUCGAGUCGGCCUGCGCGGAAGAUGUAACGGGGCUAAACCAUGCACCGAAGCUGCGGCAGCGACGCUGAUGCGUUGUUGGGUAGGGGAGCGUUCUGUAAGCCUGUGAAGGUGUGCUGUGAGGCAUGCUGGAGGUAUCAGAAGUGCGAAUGCUGACAUAAGUAACGAUAAAGCGGGUGAAAAGCCCGCUCGCCGGAAGACCAAGGGUUCCUGUCCAACGUUAAUCGGGGCAGGGUGAGUCGACCCCUAAGGCGAGGCCGAAAGGCGUAGUCGAUGGGAAACAGGUUAAUAUUCCUGUACUUGGUGUUACUGCGAAGGGGGGACGGAGAAGGCUAUGUUGGCCGGGCGACGGUUGUCCCGGUUUAAGCGUGUAGGCUGGUUUUCCAGGCAAAUCCGGAAAAUCAAGGCUGAGGCGUGAUGACGAGGCACUACGGUGCUGAAGCAACAAAUGCCCUGCUUCCAGGAAAAGCCUCUAAGCAUCAGGUAACAUCAAAUCGUACCCCAAACCGACACAGGUGGUCAGGUAGAGAAUACCAAGGCGCUUGAGAGAACUCGGGUGAAGGAACUAGGCAAAAUGGUGCCGUAACUUCGGGAGAAGGCACGCUGAUAUGUAGGUGAAGUCCCUCGCGGAUGGAGCUGAAAUCAGUCGAAGAUACCAGCUGGCUGCAACUGUUUAUUAAAAACACAGCACUGUGCAAACACGAAAGUGGACGUAUACGGUGUGACGCCUGCCCGGUGCCGGAAGGUUAAUUGAUGGGGUCAGCGCAAGCGAAGCUCUUGAUCGAAGCCCCGGUAAACGGCGGCCGUAACUAUAACGGUCCUAAGGUAGCGAAAUUCCUUGUCGGGUAAGUUCCGACCUGCACGAAUGGCGUAAUGAUGGCCAGGCUGUCUCCACCCGAGACUCAGUGAAAUUGAACUCGCUGUGAAGAUGCAGUGUACCCGCGGCAAGACGGAAAGACCCCGUGAACCUUUACUAUAGCUUGACACUGAACAUUGAGCCUUGAUGUGUAGGAUAGGUGGGAGGCUUAGAAGUGUGGACGCCAGUCUGCAUGGAGCCGACCUUGAAAUACCACCCUUUAAUGUUUGAUGUUCUAACGUUGACCCGUAAUCCGGGUUGCGGACAGUGUCUGGUGGGUAGUUUGACUGGGGCGGUCUCCUCCUAAAGAGUAACGGAGGAGCACGAAGGUUGGCUAAUCCUGGUCGGACAUCAGGAGGUUAGUGCAAUGGCAUAAGCCAGCUUGACUGCGAGCGUGACGGCGCGAGCAGGUGCGAAAGCAGGUCAUAGUGAUCCGGUGGUUCUGAAUGGAAGGGCCAUCGCUCAACGGAUAAAAGGUACUCCGGGGAUAACAGGCUGAUACCGCCCAAGAGUUCAUAUCGACGGCGGUGUUUGGCACCUCGAUGUCGGCUCAUCACAUCCUGGGGCUGAAGUAGGUCCCAAGGGUAUGGCUGUUCGCCAUUUAAAGUGGUACGCGAGCUGGGUUUAGAACGUCGUGAGACAGUUCGGUCCCUAUCUGCCGUGGGCGCUGGAGAACUGAGGGGGGCUGCUCCUAGUACGAGAGGACCGGAGUGGACGCAUCACUGGUGUUCGGGUUGUCAUGCCAAUGGCACUGCCCGGUAGCUAAAUGCGGAAGAGAUAAGUGCUGAAAGCAUCUAAGCACGAAACUUGCC